GACGUGACUGCUUUGGACAGAUAAAUUAGCUAAUUUACAACCUUCCUAACAAACGGGUGCAUAGCCUAGCCCUAGUGUUUGUCUAUUGAUAUUAAUCAAGAUAAGAGGUGAUGUGAGCUAAUCAUAGACUAAAUACCAAGGGUGCAACACUUCAGCUUCAAGGGAACGACUGUGGAAUAUUCAUGUUCAUGUUUGACAUGCCUGAAUCAGGAGGUGGUGGUGCUAUCAGUUACCACAGGCAUUUCCCCUGGCAAGUUUUUCUAUAAAGCCAAGAGUCAGUCAUCAAACCAAUGAUCUAAACCGGAUCACACCCUUGCUAGACAUCACAGAGAUCACCCCAGCUGCGAGAAUCCAUGACUCGGCUAUGAUGAAACAGAUUCUGCUCACUGUGACUCGGUGGAGGAGUACAGAACCCACUUUUCUGAUUGUGUUCGGAGGAAACCAGUGAUCCAGUACACGGCCAAUGAUGAUGCAAGGGAUGGCUUUCUCCGCCACUGAAGCUAUUCUGAACAACUGAUUUAUCAGAGUGUACUUGCACAGAGAAGCCCAAUCCAAGGUCCAUCAAACAGGAGCAGGGGCCCACUCAGAGCUUGAACCCUGGUCAACAGCAUCCCACGGCACAUUAGGUGAGAUGCCUUGCUGAUACUUAAUAUUAAGUUUUUUAUACCUGGAGUAAAGCGAAUGCAGAACUGACUGACAACAAUGCUAUCAAUGUGUUGCUUGUUUUGUAUUGUCAUUUACAUAUUGAUCAACCUGAAUGGAACAGAAAAUAGAUUGCUUUUGUUAUGUACAUAGGAGGGUUAGAUUAUUUACUGUACAUGUAAUUUCAAGAGUGAAAAACGAAGUGAUUUUUACUUAUUUUCAUGCCUGUUAAAAAUAUGGUAGGCACUCAUUGUGUCUCACCCUUUCCUGGGUGCAUUAACAUUUAAAAACAACAUUUUAUUUAUUCUAUUUAAUAUUUUAUUAAUUUAGGGAAAUGAGCAAGAUUCUUAGCCCUCAUCAGACUAUUUGGAUGUUAUUUAUAGUGUAAAAACAUAAAAUUUAAAGCAGAUGUUUUUGAUGGGUUAGCAUUACUCAACAUUACUUACUACCUUACAGACAGCAACACUACAAUAAUAUAAGGUAAACUAGUAAAAAAAAUCAUAUUUAAUUUAAAUGGAACCGUAAAUCAUUAGGCAAAACUGGAAUCGGAAUGGGAAAAUUUCUUACAGCACCCAACCCUACUGACAAUUACCAUGUUAUUAAAGGGAUAGUUCACCCAAAAAUGAAACUGUUGUUAACUGUUGCUCAACCCUCAUGACAUUUCAAACCUGUAUGACUUACAUUUUUCAGCAGAACACAGAAGAAAAUAUUUUGAAUAAUGUUGGUAACAGAAACAUGAUCCCUAUUGACUUGUACAUUUUUUUGUGUGUCCAUUGAGUAGAAGUCAAUGGGCACCAACGGGGUUGUGUUACAAACAUUGUUCAAAAAAUCUGUUUUUUGUGCUAUGCAAAAGAAAGAAAGGCAUACAGGUUUAAAAUGACGAGCGGGUGAGACUAUGAUGACAAAAUUUUCUUUUUUGGCCAUAUUUUUGUUAUCAUGAUGUAAUAUAGGCACUCCAGUUUAUUGUUUGGCCCCGCCCCUCUGGUUCCUUGUUUAGCUUUCCACCUGUAUUUCAAUACCGACACCUUCCCAUUGUUAUCUUCCUUUGUUAGUCUCUCUAUUAAAUGCCCUUGUGUUUGCUGUCCUGUGCUCGUACGUUUUACUUCUAUCCCUGGUCUGUUAUGCGCGUUACAUUGUGGAUUAUUCCUAAACCUUGUCUGUAUUAGCCUGUGUAGUUGCUGUGUUUAUUUAGUUUAGUCCCUCGUGUAAGUUUAAUUGGGUUCUUGUUCUCCUGGUUUUGCCCCGAAGUGGGUAGUAUUUUGUGUUGCCUUUUUAUUAACCAUGUCUCUGUUGCCCCCCUUCACCGCUGCUGCCUGCAAUUGGGUUCUCUUCUUGUUCACCUUCAUGAUUCAUGACACUUACCACACCUGCUAUGACUGUUUUACCUUUGUUAACAAACUUAGUAACAUCUACAAUCUAUCUCUCUAUCUAUUUACUUUACUGAUGGAGCAUGAAGAGACAGGCAAUGGACAACAGCUCUAGUUUUUCAGCACCCACACACACAUUCAGAUAAGAGUUCUUGUGAAAGUUUGUUACGUUUUGGUGGUUAUAAUUCAUUGUCAAUUCAUUUGAAUUUGAGUGUGUUUAUUCAUUUUUCAAAAAUCAUGUUUUUUUCAUUGUGAAUUAAUAUAAAUCAAACUGCAAUUGGUUUGUUUUGAUUUCAGCCAUAAUAACUAAAAAUAGAGCUAACUAGAGUUUUCUCAUUUUCAAACCAAACUCUUCAAAUAUUCAUCUUUUACAUUUUAUACCAUUUUACCUAACUGUUGAUGUGUUUUUUUAAAGCUUUUAUAAUAAAAACACAUUUUUAGUGCCCAUCGUCGGACGUUUUACGCUCUAUUUAUUACAAUGGAAGGAAGCGACGUACAGCUGUCCAUCUUUUUUACAGUCUAUGACACACAGACACACACAUUACAUAAAUAUACACAUAUACAUAGGAUUUCUGAAAAUAAAGGUUCAUUUUUUUAUUUAGUCCUUUUCUGAACAAGUUAUUAUUAAACAUGAAAUGUUGACAUGUAGUUCAUACCAAAUAAAUAAUUACAGAAUUUCAAAAAAUAACUAAAAGCCCCCUGAUUAUUAUUAAUGUAUGAUGUUUAUGCGCAAUCAAUUACAGUUUUUGUGUUUUUCAUUGUUGUUAAAAGGUUUCUUGUUUGCCCCGAGUCAUUAAACUGUCCACUGAUAUUCAGAAAAAUCAACCAGGUCCUCAAGAAUCUUUGCUUUUUCAGCAUUUCUGUAUCUGCCUCAUAUCUAGCAAUGAUAUUCAGUUUCAUCUGUUAACAUUGAGGACAAUAAAGAGACUGAUACACAACUGUCAUGGUUCCACCAUCUUGUCUUGUCUAUUCUUGAUCUUGGGGCGGAGCCAUGACACAGCCUAAGGUUCUUUGGGGAGAGAGAAGUUGGGCCUUAGGGAUCCUCUCACUCUCUCUCCGAGUCUCGUCUGUGUUUCCAGCCAUAUCACUUCCUUGUUAACUUCCCAUCAAUGUUUCAUCCCCUACACCUGGUCCUGUUCAAUUAUCCUGUGUUUGUUCCCCUUUAAAUACUCCUCAUGUUUCAUUGUACGUUCUACCUUGUAUACCUCAUACGGAGUGUGUUUUGCCAAGUCGUGUCCUGUAUUACCAGUUUACCUUCUACUUUGUGGUUGAAGCUCCUGUCCAGUCUUAUCUUUUGUUAACCCCUUCAUCGCCUGCCUACAAUUGUGUUCUCCCUUCCACCCCUUAUCAUGACACACAACUAUUACAGAUACUAAGCUCAUUUACUCAUAUUCGUAAAAAUGCACCGAUACCAAAGACCGAUAAUUUGUGACAUAAUUGUCAGAACUGACUGAAAUUUGUUGUGAAAUUUGCUUUGAAAGUUUGUGAGAAGUAAUUUUUUUAAUAUAAAAUGAUAAAAAAUUAAGGUGGAGUUGUAAUUAUAAAGCUAUUCUAUUAUUUUAAAUAUCACGUGUUGUGAAAAGGUACAGGCAUCAGUAAAGGAAUCGGUAUCAGCGGGUACCAGAAAAAAUACGGUACUGAAACUUGGUCUUUAAAAUAUGGUUUCAGUGCAUUACACAAAUUCAUUGAUGCCCAUGAAA
Long non-coding RNA from Triplophysa dalaica, 3709 nucleotides. RefSeq lists it as uncharacterized. The record is from RefSeq and is a predicted model, not a curated record. The transcript is spliced from 6 exons. Lineage: Eukaryota; Metazoa; Chordata; Actinopteri; Cypriniformes; Nemacheilidae.